UGCGCAGGCGGUCUUGCAAGUCAGAUGUGAAAGCCCCGGGCUUAACCUGGGAAUUGCGUUUGAAACUACAAGGCUAGAGUGCAGCAGAGGGGAGUGGAAUUCCAUGUGUAGCAGUGAAAUGCGUAGAGAUGUGGAAGAACACCGAUGGCGAAGGCAGCUCCCUGGGUUGACACUGACGCUCAUGCACGAAAGGCGUGGGGAGCAAACA
This 208-nucleotide ribosomal RNA is filed under the name uncultured bacterium. RNAcentral describes it as "partial 16S ribosomal RNA". It matches the Rfam family "Bacterial small subunit ribosomal RNA", at positions 568 to 774 of the family's 1533-position model. The record is from RNAcentral.